GUAUUUCCAGAUUUCGACCAAUAAGUCGAAAUGGCUGGUGACGUUUGUCACCGGCCU
Molecule: small RNA, 57 nt
Filed under: Marinomonas ushuaiensis DSM 15871
Lineage: Bacteria; Pseudomonadati; Pseudomonadota; Gammaproteobacteria; Oceanospirillales; Oceanospirillaceae
Description: Pseudomonas sRNA P26
Rfam family: Pseudomonas sRNA P26
About the family: P26 is conserved across many Gammaproteobacteria species and appears to be consistently located between the DNA directed RNA polymerase (beta subunit) and 50S ribosomal protein L7/L12 genes.
Source: Rfam by way of RNAcentral